CCUUUGCAACCCAGGCCAUUCUGUGAUUCUAUGAAUAUUUGCAUAAUGUAAAUAUUUGGAAGUAAAUAUUCCAGUGUAAAAUAUCCCAGUAUAAAACCCCCAAGAAAAGCUUUUUUAUUUUGGGCUGAGAAUAACCAUUUGUACACCCCUCCAAUGCCAGCCAUAAAAAGCAAGCAAGCCAGCAGUCAGAGCAUACAGCUCACUUACCAGUUCCCCUUCUUACAGCUCUCAUAUCCCUGUGCUCACCCUGAGCACCCAAAGGACAGUCUUGCAUCUGUCCACGCAUUUAUUACAUCAGCACACACAUCCUUGUUUCAUUUCCUUAAUUUAUCUAUUAAAGUUUAAUGCACAAUUCAGACAAAUAACUAAAUCCACAGAUACUUGUUCUCAUAUUUUCCUAAAUAGUUCAGAGAAGGACAAAGCACCUCAAUGCCAGUGGCUGCAAGCUGGCUGAGCACUUUGCCGCCAUGCCCCAGCACCCAGUCACAAAGUGUCCUACAACUGGAACUGUUGGAAGACACGUGACAAACACAGUGAUCAUCAGACCAUGUCAUGAGAUCACCAGUCAACUGGAUGUGCACUCUGGACUUUCGCUGUGUUCUCCAGAAGGGCUUUUUGUGCAUCUGAAGCAUCAUCUCUAAAUCAAGGCAUCCAAGAGAGGAAACGAUGAAGACCGCCCAUCCAACUUUACCUUGCUUCCCUCUCUCCUCAGCCUGCACCUGGUUGUGCUCUAUCUACUGGUCUUCAUAUUAGGCUAGAUGAACUGAUCAUGCCACACAGUUUGACAUUCCAGUUCCUGUCAAUGGCGCUAUUGAACACACAUAAAAAAAAUGCAGUACCUGGAAGUCUGAUGAGGACUUUUCUUAACAGCACACAUCAAAAAGUGUACCUGGAGGAACUACCUGAAUUUGAGACCUUACAAACACUCCAAGGUCACAAUAACACAUUAAAGCGCACAGAAGGCUCGCACAAAAUUCAGUGGACAUCUCCACUACAGUAGUGUAAUAUGUGUAAAGGAAGGAAAAACAAUCAUAACCAUGGCAAAGAAGAAGUGUGAUCCUAAACCAGGUGGUGGUCAAGUGAUAUUUUCUGGACACUUAUAUUAGAAUUGUCUGGGGGAGGAAAAAGAGAAAACCAGCCAGAGCUAAGAAUAUAAGAUAUAGCUAGCAACCAUGGCAACUCUAAUAUUUAACUACAUAAUCCAGGGUCAUUAUCUAGUAAUAGCUAUAUAACAAGUGCUCAAAAUAACCAGCUAUCCCAUCCCUUUCACCCAAACUUAGAUACCCCAAAACAUCUGUUAUGGAAAUACAUGUGUGUUUCUGGAACAUAAAUUAAAUAACAUUCUGUGACCUAAAUGUGGUGUGUUCUCACUUCCCCACCCUUUUCUUUCUUUUCGAUCAUGUCUCCCAUUCCAGACUGAUUUUGUCCCUCCUACUUCAUAUCGCUGGCAUAAGAGGGAAGAGUCUGAGCGAAGACUGCAAACAGAGCUAUGAUGCAUUAUAUUAGCGAAGCAAAUCUACUUAAUGUUCUCUUAAAUUCUUUCAGUUUCUUGCUUCUUUUUGUCCUUUUACUAACUUCAGUCUACCUUCUCACUUGCUCUGCCCUCCGAUUAUUCCAUUUUUGAACCUGCAACCUCCCUUUCACAUUUCCCAUUUUCUUAUGAAAUAGUUGUCAUCUUCUCUGUCACUCCUAGUCUAGUAGAUUCUCUUUCCAUCUGGACUGCACACAAAAGAGAGGGGCAAAUAAGCUCUGUUCUAGCUCUGAAGAAAAGCAACCCCAGUCAUUUCACAGUACUGCCUUUCAGUACUCCAGCCAUGGAUAAUCCACGCACUACAGGGAGAGACAAGUCAAACUAAGAAUUGAAAACUAUUGAAAAGUUUCAAAAAUAGUAAAUAAUUGUUGACCAUUUUAAAAUAAUUUUAUUAAUCUUUCUUUUUCUUAAAGAUGCUUCCUUUAGAAAUACACCUUUUUGUUUUGUUUCUAUACAUAAAAUGUUACUCUGAACUUUAGAGGCUGGAAUAAAACCACCAAACCACCACACCUCCAAUAACUCUACAGACUCAGGUUGAUUUUUCUUUCUCCUAGCCACCAAAUUAAAUUAAGAAAAAAUGGUAUUUUCUGCUUUGCACCUGACGACCAGCAUCGAUAUUCUGCAUGCACAGUGUUACCAGUAACAUGUGCCAACAUUCCCAGGUGGGACUCAACACUUGAGUUCCACGGGUGAACUGACUUGUGAAGAAGAAAUUCAGAACAGUAGCAGGGCCUUCAGCCAACAGCACUUCUCAUUGUCUUUGGUAAAAAUGGAAGCUGAAAGGCACUGCACAAAUUAUUUGUCGAUAUUACAAAAGAUUCUUUGUCCAUUUUAUCAAAUGGCUAUUUAAAAGAUAUAGGCAGGUGUAUUAAGCAAAUGUGAAUCUACACUUCCAUACAUUCAAAUUCAAAUUCAGAAAAUUUAGAUGCCUGUAACAUUUCCUGAUCUGCUCACAGUUCAGAAAGCUACAAGUCUCCACAUUUUCCAUUUGAUAACUGUUCUUUAGUCUAAAAUCUCUGCAUCCCACUGGGCUUCGUUUAGAAAAGACAUAGCAUCCUUCUCUUCUGAGAAAGGUGUUCUCAAUAUGCAUGUCACCCUGGCCAUCAUGAUCCACUCUUAACAUCUUCAGUUCAGCAUAUGAUAACCUAUAAAUUUCUUUUGACUUUCAAACUGUUACUAUUGAGAACAAUUUUAGAUUCAAAUGACUCACUGCUAGACAAAAAAUUUCAUGUAUGUCUUGCUUAUCUCUACGCUCAUAUCCCUUUCUGCAUGGUUUUACACAAAAAAUAAAUGUGUUCAGGUCAUGCAUGGUUACAUGUGUGUAGAAGUGUAUUUCCUAGUAACAUUUUAAUACACCUUCCAACUUCAACCAAACUUUACAGGAUAACAAUGUCUCAGUUUCUCAAAGGUUUAAAAAACAAACAUACUGCUACUGAAAAGAAAGACACCCCAAGGAAGAAAAACAAUACCAUGAUCCCUCCUCCAAAGCACUGAAAGAUGGAGAUCUAUCUGGAAGGAGAGAGGGACUUCAUAAAUAAUUCCCUGGAGAAGAAGUUUUAGUUGGUACUCGCAGCUUUUUAAACCACAAAACCAAAUACCUACAGUGCACCUACCAGUAGGAAAUAACAAUCUUUGAUCCUAAUGCUUGUUGGUCUAUUUAGAUUAAAAUAUUUGAAAGGUAGGGAAUGGUGCUGCAUGGACAUCUUUCAUGUCCAGGCACUUCAUGACUACACAGCAUGUGAACACCUGGGCCACAGAUGUGCAAUUAGGAGGCUCAU
Non-coding RNA from Coturnix japonica (Japanese quail), 3309 nucleotides. The record is from RefSeq and is a predicted model, not a curated record. NCBI's taxonomy places the organism in Eukaryota, Metazoa, Chordata, Aves, Galliformes, Phasianidae.